Bubalus bubalis (water buffalo) is the source of this 1750-nucleotide long non-coding RNA. RefSeq lists it as uncharacterized. The transcript is spliced from 2 exons. The record is from RefSeq and is a predicted model, not a curated record. Lineage: Eukaryota; Metazoa; Chordata; Mammalia; Artiodactyla; Bovidae.
AGCAGAGGAUCCUGCAGUGUGGAGUGGCCUGCACCUGAGAAAGAGCUCCUAGAAAGGAAGUCCUGCGUCUGGAGGCGUCGUACCAGGAGGCUGUGUGGAGAGGCUGUCGGGCAUCUUCCAGGGACUACAGAUGGAUCAGGAGGUUCCUGAGAGCCCAGGCGGAAGAGUUACAUGUGAAAACAGGAGAGAUGGCACUCCUGCUCCUGCAAGUGACCAGAGGCUGGAGCUGCCAUGUGGGGCCCACUUGUAUUUCAAGAUUUAAAUGCUCCCUCGUGCCUGCAGUGUCGACAGACAAAACGGCAUAAAACCAAGAUACCAAUGAUGAAAACCUAAAGACACAUCAAGAUAUUUGGGGAUAAAGGGUAUGGGAGUGUAGGUGUAAGGAUCAAGAGGGAGGGACAGAAGAAGCUGAAAAAGAGAACAAGACAGCAGGGAAAUAAAGGCGAGAACACUGGGACGAUAGGACUUCCAGCCACUACAUGACUAGGGUCUGAACCGCUGUCACUCUCCUCUCUGGUCAGGGGGAUGCUGCUGGACCAGGGUCUGCACAGGGCGAGGCCAGCCUGUCACCCGUCAGAGGGAGCAGGUUCACAGGCCGAGAGGAGUGAGACUGUAGCUGCCCGACAUCCACUCUCAGUGAGAGGAGAGAGACAUGGACAGAUUUCAGGGAGGGAAAGCACUGCCCGAAUGAGGGUCUGAGGCCCCAGGGGCCAGGAAGGCAGACUUACAAACACGGUGACGCUGAAGUAAGAAAUUCAGGCGGCCACUUGUCACCCAUGGGGAAGCUCUGUUCAGUGGGCCCAGAGGUGCCCAGACCCUCUCUUCGGAAGGGGACAGCUGCCCCAAGUUGGGUGCCACUAAGUCUGAUACGGACCAGGGUUCCUAGCCUCCUCCUUAUCAAGAGAAAUUGACUAGAGGUCAGACGUGACGUUCAGGCAAGGCUUUAUUGGGGCCCAUGCUUGCUUGCUCCCUGGGGGUGGGGGAGCUGGUUCCUUCUGGGAGGGCGGGGGGAGAGGUGUGUCCAGGACUCAGGCCACGGCGGGGCCUGGGUGGUCUGCCCAGCCCUUAGCUGGUGGUGUGUGUGCAGCACCAAGCCCUUCAGAAGCGGCAGCUGGGACUUGUUUGUCUUGGCGCAUCUCUCUGUCCAUCCCUUGCCCCAGCUGCUUGAGAGGAGGUCUGUCAGGCGCCAGCACUGCAGCCAGGGGUCCCAGGGCCCACCCAGCCUGUCUCAGUUUCACAUCCCAUCUCUCCCGUACUUUUCCUGAGCUGCUGCUGUUAACAUUUAUAUUCAUGUUUAUUCCAUAAGUGCACUGUUAUUUCUUAAACAGGCAAUUAUGUUUUGAAGAAAUAGGUAAGAGAUCCCUUAUCAGUUUAGCCGUGUAAUUGACAGUUCGAAAGAUCUCUGUGUCCUUAGGUAGAUGCAGGAUUCUCUGAUGUUACUUUACUUUUGUCUGGACUUCUUUUAACACUUCUUGCAGGAUGGGUCUAUUUGAGAUGAAUUAUUUUUACUUUGUAUUACAUUGUAGAUAUCUUUAUCUCACUCAAGGUUUUCUUUUUAUUGUGUUAAAAUACGCAUAACACAAAUUUACCAUUUAUCCACUGUUUAGGGUGCAGUUCAGUUAAAUACUUUCACAUUAUGUGUAGCCCUCGCUACCCUCCAUCCACAUAACUCUCUUCAUCUUGUAAAACUGAAACUCUGCACCUAUUAAAUGACUCCUGGUUCUCCCCUCCCCUGGUGACCACCACUGUA